UCUUACCUACACCGCCCAUGCC
Molecule: microRNA, 22 nt
Filed under: Manihot esculenta (cassava)
Lineage: Eukaryota; Viridiplantae; Streptophyta; Magnoliopsida; Malpighiales; Euphorbiaceae
Description: mes-miR482e
Gene: mes-miR482e
Source: miRBase by way of RNAcentral